This 385-nucleotide ribosomal RNA is filed under the name uncultured bacterium. RNAcentral's name for it is "bacterial SSU rRNA". It matches the Rfam family "Bacterial small subunit ribosomal RNA", at positions 370 to 772 of the family's 1533-position model. The record is from RNAcentral.
AAUGGGCGAAAGCCUGAUGCAGCAACGCCGCGUGAGCGAUGAAGGCCUUCGGGUCGUAAAGCUCUGUCCUCAAGGAAGAUAAUGACGGUACCUGAGGAGGAAGCCACGGCUAACUACGUGCCAGCAGCCGCGGUAAUACGUAGGUGGCGAGCGUUGUCCGGAUUUACUGGGCGUAAAGGGAGCGUAGGCGGAUUUUUAAGUGAGAUGUGAAAUACCCGGGCUCAACUUGGGUGCUGCAUUUCAAACUGGAAGUCUAGAGUGCAGGAGAGGAGAGUGGAAUUCCUAGUGUAGCGGUGAAAUGCGUAGAGAUUAGGAAGAACACCAGUGGCGAAGGCGACUCUCUGGACUGUAACUGACGCUGAGGCUCGAAAGCGUGGGGAGCAAA